Molecule: ribosomal RNA, 447 nt
Filed under: uncultured bacterium
Lineage: Bacteria
Description: partial 16S ribosomal RNA
Rfam family: Bacterial small subunit ribosomal RNA
Source: RNAcentral
AACGAAUCCUAUCAGUGUAUCGGUAGGGUUAGUGGCAGACGGGUGAGUAAUACGUGGGCAAUCUGCCCUCGAGAAGGGGAUAACCCCGGGAAACCGGGGCUAAUACCGCAUGAGACCACAGUCCGGCAUCGGACAGAGGUUAAAGCUCCGCAAGGGGCGCUCGAGGUGGAGCCCACGGCCUAUCAGCUAGUUGGCGGGGUAACGGCCCACCAAGGCUACGACGGGUAAGCGGUCUGAAAGGACGACCGCUCACAAUGGCACUGAGACACGGGCCAGACUCCUACGGGAGGCAGCAGUGGGGAAUAUUGGACAAUGGGCGAAAGCCUGAUCCAGCAACGCCGCGUGAGUGAUGAAGGCCUUAGGGUUGUAAAGCUCUUUUAGUGGGGAAGAUAAUGACGGUACCCACAGAAAAAGCCCCGGCUAACUUCGUGCCAGCCGCCGCGGUAA